GCAACUAACUAUUUAUGUUGCAAUAUUUGCACAGAUUCGGUCAGUGGCCUAUGGUUAACAAUGAAAGAAUACUAGUGCUAUAAAUUCCAUACACGACCAGGCAUAUUCAACCCAAUUUUGCAUGGCGGAUGCCUAUUCCAGCAGUUUGCUGUAGAUACAUACAUCAAGAUUGAAAGCUCCAGACUGGAUUACAUCUGGCAUAAUCAAAAGAAAAUAAGGGCUGACCUAUACCAAGGCCUUCUAGACAACAUUCAAGCUGGAGAACACAAUGGAGAUGCGGUUGGAAAAUAG
Molecule: ribosomal RNA, 291 nt
Filed under: Triticum aestivum (bread wheat)
Lineage: Eukaryota; Viridiplantae; Streptophyta; Magnoliopsida; Poales; Poaceae
Description: partial small subunit ribosomal RNA
Source: RNAcentral